This 253-nucleotide ribosomal RNA is filed under the name uncultured bacterium. Its description in RNAcentral is "partial 16S ribosomal RNA". It matches the Rfam family "Bacterial small subunit ribosomal RNA", at positions 524 to 776 of the family's 1533-position model. The record is from RNAcentral.
UACGUAGGGUGCGAGCGUUGUCCGGAAUUAUUGGGCGUAAAGAGCUCGUAGGCGGUUUGUCACGUCUGCUGUGAAAUCCCGAGGCUCAACCUCGGGCCUGCAGUGGGUACGGGCAGACUGGAGUGCGGUAGGGGAGAAUGGAAUUCCUGGUGUAGCGGUGGAAUGCGCAGAUAUCAGGAGGAACACCGAUGGCGAAGGCGGGUCUCUGGGCAGUAACUGACGCUGAGGAGCGAAAGCGUGGGGAGCGAACAGG